UACGUAGGCGGAAAAUUAAGUCAGUAGUGAAAUCCUGCAGCUUAACUGUAGAACUGUUAUUGAUACUGAUUUUCUUGAAUAUAGUUGAGGUAGGCGGAAUGUGUAAUGUAGCGGUGAAAUGCUUAGAUAUUACACAGAACACCGAUUGCGAAGGCAGCUUACUAAGCUAUUAUUGACGCUGAGGCACGAAAGCGUGGGGAGCGAACAGGAUUAGAUACCCUGGUAGUCC
Molecule: ribosomal RNA, 229 nt
Filed under: uncultured bacterium
Lineage: Bacteria
Description: partial 16S ribosomal RNA
Rfam family: Bacterial small subunit ribosomal RNA
Source: RNAcentral